GACGUAGGGCGCGAGCGUUGUCCGGAUUUAUUGGGCGUAAAGAGCUCGUAGGCGGCUUGAUGCGUCGGCUGUGAAAACCCGCGGCUUAACCGUGGGCUUGCAGCCGAUACGGGCAGGCUAGAGUUCGGUAGGGGAGACUGGAAUUCCUGGUGUAGCGGUGAAAUGCGCAGAUAUCAGGAGGAACACCGAUGGCGAAGGCAGGUCUCUGGGCCGAUACUGACGCUGAGGAGCGAAAGCGUGGGGAGCGAACAGG
Molecule: ribosomal RNA, 253 nt
Filed under: uncultured bacterium
Lineage: Bacteria
Description: partial 16S ribosomal RNA
Rfam family: Bacterial small subunit ribosomal RNA
Source: RNAcentral